This 84-nucleotide transfer RNA is filed under the name Binatia bacterium. RNAcentral's name for it is "tRNA-Leu". It matches the Rfam family "tRNA". Rfam says of the family: Transfer RNA (tRNA) molecules are approximately 80 nucleotides in length. Their secondary structure includes four short double-helical elements and three loops (D, anti-codon, and T loops). The record is from RNAcentral. Lineage: Bacteria; Candidatus Binatota; Binatia (SeqCode).
GCGAGAGUGGCGGAAUUGGCAGACGCGCUAGACUUAGGAUCUAGUGGGCCUAGCCCCGUGGGGGUUCGACUCCCCCCUCUCGCA